RNAcentral lists this ribosomal RNA (453 nucleotides) under uncultured bacterium. Its description in RNAcentral is "bacterial SSU rRNA". It matches the Rfam family "Bacterial small subunit ribosomal RNA", at positions 340 to 785 of the family's 1533-position model. The record is from RNAcentral.
UACGGAAGGCAGCAGUGGGGAAUAUUGCACAAUGGGCGAAAGCCUGAUGCAGCUAUGCCGCGUGUAUGAAGAAGGCCUUAGGGUUGUAAAGUACUUUCAUCGGGGAGGAAAAACAAAACUAAUAAUUUUAUUUCUUGACGUUACCCGAAAAAGAAGCACCGGCUAACUCCGUGCCAGCAGCCGCGGUAAUACGGAGGGUGCUAGCGUUAAUCAGAAUUACUGGGCGUAAAGAGCACGUAGGUGGUUUUUUUAAGUCAGAUGUGAAUCCCUGGGCUUAACCUAGGAACUGCAUUUUGAAACUGAAAUACUAGAGUAUCGUAGAGGGAGGUAGAAUUCUAGGUGUAGCGGUGAAAUGCGUAGAUAUCUGGAGGAAUACCUGUGGCGAAAGCGGCCUCCUAAACGAAUACUGACACUGAGGUGCGAAAGCGUGGGGAGCAAACAGGGAUUAGAUAC